UCAAGUGAAGAAGCGCAUACGGUGGAUGCCUUGGCAGUCAGAGGCGAUGAAAGACGUGGUAGCCUGCGAAAAGCUUCGGGGAGUCGGCAAACAGACUGUGAUCCGGAGAUGUCUGAAUGGGGGAACCCAGCCAUCAUAAGAUGGUUAUCUUGUACUGAAUACAUAGGUGCAAGAGGCGAACCAGGGGAACUGAAACAUCUAAGUACCCUGAGGAAAAGAAAUCAACCGAGAUUCCCUUAGUAGUGGCGAGCGAACGGGGACCAGCCCUUAAGUUGUAUUGAGAUUAGCGGAACGUUCUGGAAAGGACGGCCAUAGUGGGUGAUAGCCCUGUACGCGAAAAUCCCUUUGCAAUGAAAUCGAGUAGGACGGGGCACGAGAAACCUUGUCUGAAUAUGGGGGGACCAUCCUCCAAGGCUAAAUACUACUGACUGACCGAUAGUGAACCAGUACCGUGAGGGAAAGGCGAAAAGAACCGCGGAGAGCGGAGUGAAAUAGAUCCUGAAACCGUAUGCGUACAAGCAGUGGGAGCCCACUUUGUUGGGUGACUGCGUACCUUUUGUAUAAUGGGUCAGCGACUUAUUUUCAGUGGCGAGCUUAACCGAAUAGGGGAGGCGUAGCGAAAGCGAGUCUUAAUAGGGCGUCUAGUCGCUGGGAAUAGACCCGAAACCGGGCGAUCUAUCCAUGGGCAGGUUGAAGGUUGGGUAACACUAACUGGAGGACCGAACCGACUACCGUUGAAAAGUUAGCGGAUGACCUGUGGAUCGGAGUGAAAGGCUAAUCAAGCUCGGAGAUAGCUGGUUCUCCUCGAAAGCUAUUUAGGUAGCGCCUCAUGUAUCACUGUAGGGGGUAGAGCACUGUUUCGGCUAGGGGGUCAUCCCGACUUACCAAACCGAUGCAAACUCCGAAUACCUACAAGUGCCGAGCAUGGGAGACACACGGCGGGUGCUAACGUCCGUCGUGAAAAGGGAAACAACCCAGACCGUCAGCUAAGGUCCCAAAGUCAUGGUUAAGUGGGAAACGAUGUGGGAAGGCUUAGACAGCUAGGAGGUUGGCUUAGAAGCAGCCACCCUUUAAAGAAAGCGUAAUAGCUCACUAGUCGAGUCGGCCUGCGCGGAAGAUGUAACGGGGCUCAAACCAUGCACCGAAGCUACGGGUAUCAUCUUAUGAUGAUGCGGUAGAGGAGCGUUCUGUAAGCCUGUGAAGGUGAGUUGAGAAGCUUGCUGGAGGUAUCAGAAGUGCGAAUGCUGACAUGAGUAACGACAAUGGGUGUGAAAAACACCCACGCCGAAAGACCAAGGUUUCCUGCGCAACGUUAAUCGACGCAGGGUUAGUCGGUCCCUAAGGCGAGGCUGAAAAGCGUAGUCGAUGGAAAACAGGUUAAUAUUCCUGUACUUCUGGUUAUUGCGAUGGAGGGACGGAGAAGGCUAGGCCAGCCUGGCGUUGGUUGUCCAGGUUUAAGGUGGUAGGCUGAGAUCUUAGGUAAAUCCGGGAUCUUAAGGCCGAGAGCUGAUGACGAGUGUUCUUUUAGAACAUGAAGUGGUUGAUGCCAUGCUUCCAAGAAAAGCUUCUAAGCUUCAGGUAACCAGGAACCGUACCCCAAACCGACACAGGUGGUUGGGUAGAGAAUACCAAGGCGCUUGAGAGAACUCGGGUGAAGGAACUAGGCAAAAUGGCACCGUAACUUCGGGAGAAGGUGCGCCGGUGGAGGUGAAGCAUUUACUGCGUAAGCCCCUGCCGGUCGAAGAUACCAGGCCGCUGCGACUGUUUAUUAAAAACACAGCACUCUGCAAACACGAAAGUGGACGUAUAGGGUGUGACGCCUGCCCGGUGCCGGAAGGUUAAUUGAUGGGGUUAGCGCAAGCGAAGCUCUUGAUCGAAGCCCCGGUAAACGGCGGCCGUAACUAUAACGGUCCUAAGGUAGCGAAAUUCCUUGUCGGGUAAGUUCCGACCUGCACGAAUGGCGUAACGAUGGCGGCGCUGUCUCCACCCGAGACUCAGUGAAAUUGAAAUCGCUGUGAAGAUGCAGUGUAUCCGCGGCUAGACGGAAAGACCCCGUGAACCUUUACUAUAGCUUUGCACUGGACUUUGAAUUUGCUUGUGUAGGAUAGGUGGGAGGCUUUGAAGCGUGGACGCCAGUCUGCGUGGAGCCAACCUUGAAAUACCACCCUGGCAACUUUGAGGUUCUAACUCAGGUCCGUUAUCCGGAUCGAGGACAGUGUAUGGUGGGUAGUUUGACUGGGGCGGUCUCCUCCUAAAGAGUAACGGAGGAGUACGAAGGUGCGCUCAGACCGGUCGGAAAUCGGUCGUAGAGUAUAAAGGCAAAAGCGCGCUUGACUGCGAGACAGACACGUCGAGCAGGUACGAAAGUAGGUCUUAGUGAUCCGGUGGUUCUGUAUGGAAGGGCCAUCGCUCAACGGAUAAAAGGUACUCCGGGGAUAACAGGCUGAUACCGCCCAAGAGUUCAUAUCGACGGCGGUGUUUGGCACCUCGAUGUCGGCUCAUCACAUCCUGGGGCUGAAGCCGGUCCCAAGGGUAUGGCUGUUCGCCAUUUAAAGUGGUACGCGAGCUGGGUUUAGAACGUCGUGAGACAGUUCGGUCCCUAUCUGCCGUGGACGUUUGAGAUUUGAGAGGGGCUGCUCCUAGUACGAGAGGACCGGAGUGGACGAACCUCUGGUGUUCCGGUUGUCACGCCAGUGGCAUUGCCGGGUAGCUAUGUUCGGAAAAGAUAACCGCUGAAAGCAUCUAAGCGGGAAACUUGCCUCAAGAUGAGAUCUCACUGGAACCUUGAGUUCCCUAAAGGGCCGUCGAAGACUACGACGUUGAUAGGUUGGGUGUGUAAGCGCUGUGAGGCGUUGAGCUAACCAAUACUAAUUGCCCGUGAGGCUUGACCAU
This 2892-nucleotide ribosomal RNA is filed under the name Pseudomonas syringae. RNAcentral's name for it is "bacterial LSU rRNA". It matches the Rfam family "Bacterial large subunit ribosomal RNA". The record is from RNAcentral. Lineage: Bacteria; Pseudomonadati; Pseudomonadota; Gammaproteobacteria; Pseudomonadales; Pseudomonadaceae.